Molecule: ribosomal RNA, 568 nt
Filed under: Glomeromycotina sp. RFLP12 YL-2011
Lineage: Eukaryota; Fungi; Glomeromycota
Description: SSU rRNA
Rfam family: Eukaryotic small subunit ribosomal RNA
Source: RNAcentral
UUGGAGGGCAAGUCUGGUGCCAGCAGCCGCGGUAAUUCCAGCUCCAAUAGCGUAUAUUAAAGUUGUUGCAGUUAAAAAGCUCGUAGUUGAAUUUCGGAAUUUUUUUAUCGGUUGAACCAACAGGUUCGUACUGAUUUUAAGAAUUUCUACCUUCUGGAGAACCUUAAUGUCAUUUAUUUGAUGUUUUGGGAAACCAGGACUGUUACCUUGAAAAAAUUAGAGUGUUUAAAGCAGGCUUAUGUCUGAAUAUAUUAGCUUGGAAUAAUGAAAUAGGACGGCAUGGUUCUAUUUUGUUGGUUUCUAGGAUCACCGUAAUGAUUAAUAGGGAUAGUUGGGGGCAUUAGUAUUCAAUUGUCAGAGGUGAAAUUCUUGGAUUUAUUGAAGACUAACUUCUGCGAAAGCAUUUGCCAAGGAUGUUUUCAUUAAUCAAGAACGAAAGUUAGGGGAUUGAAGACGAUCAGAUACCGUCGUAGUCUUAACCAUAAACUAUGCCGACUAGGAAUCGGACGAAGUUAAUUUUUUAAAUGACUCGUUCGGCGCCCUACAGGAAACCAAAGUGUUUGGGUUC